GAAAUGCGAUAAGUAGUGUGAAUUGCAGAAUUCAGUGAAUCAUCGAAUCUUUGAACGCACAUUGCGCCCCUUGGUAUUCCAUGGGGCAUGCCUGUUCGAGCGUCAUCUACACCCUCAAGCUCUGCUUGGUGUCGGGCGUCUUUGUCCCGCCUCCGCGCGCGGACUCGCCCCAAAUUCAUUGGCAGCGGUCCUUGCCUCCUCUCGCGCAGCACAUUGCGCUUCUCGAGGUGUUGCGGCCCGCGUCCAGAAAGCAAUCGUUACCGUCUUUGACCUCGGAUCAGGUAGGGAUACCCGCUGAACUUAAGC
This 306-nucleotide unclassified non-coding RNA is filed under the name plant metagenome. Its description in RNAcentral is "partial contains 5.8S ribosomal RNA, internal transcribed spacer 2, and large subunit ribosomal RNA". The stretch from base 1 to 105 matches the Rfam family "5.8S ribosomal RNA", at positions 50 to 154 of the family's 154-position model. The record is from RNAcentral.